Molecule: ribosomal RNA, 493 nt
Filed under: uncultured bacterium
Lineage: Bacteria
Description: bacterial SSU rRNA
Rfam family: Bacterial small subunit ribosomal RNA
Source: RNAcentral
UGGCUCAGGAUGAACGCUAGCGGCAGGCUUAAUACAUGCAAGUCGUGGGGCAGCAUGAGUAGCAAUACUUGACGGCGACCGGCAAACGGGUGAGGAACACGUACACAACCUUCCUUCAAGCGGGGAAUAGCCCAGAGAAAUUUGGAUUAAUACCCCAUAAUAUAUUUGAUAAGGCAUCUUAUUAAUAUUAAAGCUUCGGCACUUGAUGAUGGGUGUGCGGCUGAUUAGAUAGUUGGCGGGGUAACGGCCCACCAAGUCUACGAUCAGUAGCUGAUGUGAGAGCAUGAUCAGCCACACGGGCACUGAGACACGGGCCCGACUCCUACGGGAGGCAGCAGUAAGGAAUAUUGGACAAUGGACGAAAGUCUGAUCCAGCCAUGCCGCGUGAAGGAUUAAGGUCCUCUGGAUUGUAAACUUCUUUUAUAUGGGACGAAAAAAGGGCAUUCUUGUUCACUUGACGGUACCAUAUGAAUAAGCACCGGCUAACUCCGUG